Unclassified non-coding RNA from Pongo abelii (Sumatran orangutan), 117 nucleotides. It matches the Rfam family "Metazoan signal recognition particle RNA". Rfam says of the family: The signal recognition particle (SRP) is a universally conserved ribonucleoprotein. It is involved in the co-translational targeting of proteins to membranes. The eukaryotic SRP consists of a 300-nucleotide 7S RNA and six proteins: SRPs 72, 68, 54, 19, 14, and 9. NCBI's taxonomy places the organism in Eukaryota, Metazoa, Chordata, Mammalia, Primates, Hominidae. The record is from Ensembl.
GCCGGGUGCGGUGGCUCACGCCUGUAAUCCCAGUACUUUGGGAGGCUGAGGCAGGUGGAUCACCUGAGGUCAGGGAUUCGAGACCAGCCUGGCCAAUAUGGUGAAACCCUGUCUCUA